UACAGAGGUCCCAAGCGUUGUUCGGAUUUACUGGGCGUAAAGGGUGUGUAGGCGGUCGUGCAAGUCUGGUGUGAAAUCUUCACCACUCAACGGGAAGAGGUCACUGGAAACUGCAUGACUUGAGUUUGGUAGAGGCUAGCGGAAUUCCUGGUGUAGCGGUGGAAUGUGUAGAUAUCAGGAAGAACACCUGUGGCGAAGGCGGCUAGCUGGGCCAAUACUGACGCUGAGACACGAAAGCGUGGGGAGCAAACGGG
Molecule: ribosomal RNA, 254 nt
Filed under: uncultured bacterium
Lineage: Bacteria
Description: partial 16S ribosomal RNA
Rfam family: Bacterial small subunit ribosomal RNA
Source: RNAcentral